RNAcentral lists this transfer RNA (69 nucleotides) under Megalinus hunanensis. RNAcentral describes it as "tRNA-Gln". Lineage: Eukaryota; Metazoa; Arthropoda; Insecta; Coleoptera; Staphylinidae. The record is from RNAcentral.
UAUAUUUUAGUAUAUGAUGUACAGUAGUUUUUGAUACUAUCAGAAAUAGUUUAAUUCUUUUAAAUAUAA